Molecule: ribosomal RNA, 252 nt
Filed under: uncultured bacterium
Lineage: Bacteria
Description: partial 16S ribosomal RNA
Rfam family: Bacterial small subunit ribosomal RNA
Source: RNAcentral
UACGGAGGAUGCGAGCGUUAUCCGGAUUUAUUGGGUUUAAAGGGUGCGUAGGCGGGCUGUUAAGUCAGCGGUAAAAGCCCGGGGCUCAACCCCGGCGAGCCGUUGAAACUGGCUGUCUUGAGAUGUCGAGAGGUAUGCGGAAUGCGCAGUGUAGCGGUGAAAUGCUUAGAUAUUGCGCAGAACUCCGAUUGCGAAGGCAGCAUACCGGCGGCGAUCUGACGCUGAGGCACGGAAGCGUGGGUAUCGAACAGG